Molecule: long non-coding RNA, 229 nt
Filed under: Pan paniscus (pygmy chimpanzee)
Lineage: Eukaryota; Metazoa; Chordata; Mammalia; Primates; Hominidae
Description: lncRNA (ENSPPAG00000044445.1)
Source: RNAcentral
CGAUGGCCCAGCCUGCCAAUGCGCAUUAGCGCUGAGUCCUUGAAAAGGAAGCCAUGAGAGAUGAUACGCCCGCCCUCCCAGGACCAAUAGGUGUGGAGUGUGAUUGUGUGGAGAACAGUGCUGGCACCGGGCAUGUGCGGCACAGAGCAGGUGCUCAGUAAACAUCAGCAGGAGGCAUGGUGAGUGAGGAGCCGUGUGAAGGAGGCAGGUGCUGAGGGGCUGGGGGCUG